AGUGAACGCUGGCGGUAGGCCUAACACAUGCAAGUCGAACGGCAGCACAGUAAGAGCUUGCUCUUACGGGUGGCGAGUGGCGGACGGGUGAGGAAUACAUCGGAAUCUACUUUUUCGUGGGGGAUAACGUAGGGAAACUUACGCUAAUACCGCAUACGACCUACGGGUGAAAGCAGGGGAUCUUCGGACCUUGCGCGAUUGAAUGAGCCGAUGUCGGAUUAGCUAGUUGGCGGGGUAAAGGCCCACCAAGGCGACGAUCCGUAGCUGGUCUGAGAGGAUGAUCAGGCCAACUGGAACUGAGACACGGUCCAGACUCCUACGGGAGGCAGCAGUGGGGAAUAUUGGACAAUGGGCGCAAGCCUGAUCCAGCCAUACCGCGUGGGUGAAGAAGGCCUUCGGGUUGUAAAGCCCUUUUGUUGGGAAAGAAAAGCAGCAGGUUAAUACCCCGCUGUUCUGACGGUACCCAAAGAAUAAGCACCGGCUAACUUCGUG
This 492-nucleotide ribosomal RNA is filed under the name uncultured bacterium. Its description in RNAcentral is "partial 16S ribosomal RNA". It matches the Rfam family "Bacterial small subunit ribosomal RNA", at positions 29 to 507 of the family's 1533-position model. The record is from RNAcentral.